This is a long non-coding RNA of Megalobrama amblycephala (Wuchang bream), 3035 nucleotides long. RefSeq lists it as uncharacterized. The record is from RefSeq and is a predicted model, not a curated record. Lineage: Eukaryota; Metazoa; Chordata; Actinopteri; Cypriniformes; Xenocyprididae. The transcript has 6 exons.
AGUCAUCUUUGAUCAUAUUUAUGAAGGGGGCUAAUCAUUCUGGCCACAACUGUACGUUGAGCUUUCUGUGGUUAUCAUUAGCCUACGUUUAAUAUUUAUAAGAAUUUAUUAGGUCUUUGAAAAAUAGCUAACACAAAAUCCUCAUAGAAUUAACAUCCACCUAAUCGUGCGUUAAAUAAUGUUUUAUAAAGCCAAUUUCUUGGUGUACUUUACAGACAAACUUUAAAUCUUACUAAUUCAUUCCAAAUGUUUAGGUAUAUGGCGCGUGCGCGAGUUCAUGAUCAAAAAUAGAGAUGCAGUAUGUUAGUCCACUGGUCAUAAAUCCAAAGGUGUUUUAGUUUUAUUUUGGUCUAUCUUUCUUUUUUCCGGGCUUGCAAACAAACUGCUUUGUAAUAAUUUCUCAAAAUUUCAGGAAAUAUUUACUUAGCCUGUCAACAGGACGUUAACACAGGCACACGCUGAACACGGACACAAAGAGGAGAACGGACGCGCCAGCAGAGAAAAUACUGCAUCAGCACAAGCUCACUGUUCGCGAAAUAUAGGAAGAAUAAUAUAAAUAUUAAAUUGGGGCUGAUAUGUACCUCUGAAGGGAACUGUCUUCAGAAAAGUUUUGAUGGCUUUUCCUCUUAUCUCCAGCGCGGCGCUGCUUUAGUGGUAACCAUGGAAACGCUAUAUCGCUGCUGUUUCAUAAGCGCCACCUGCUGUCAGAGAGUGAAUUUGCAUUUCAUGUAGGUGUCUUAUGUAGCAUAAUUUCACAAAUCUAAAAUCAGACCAGGCUGUUUUUGCUGUUAAUGUUAAAAUUAUACAAUAAUUUAAAUGAAAAACAACUGAUCAUGCUCAUGUUCAUAACAUCUUUGUUGGGAUUGUGAUAAAAAUACAGUGUUUGCCUCUAAUAUCAAAGAGCUGCACAUAUUUUUUAACAAAUAAACAACAAAUAAAUUUGCUUUAAAAAAAUCUGCAACCAGUAUCAGAAUCGGCCAAUUCGCUUCUAUUGGCCAUGAAAAAUCAAAAUGGGUGCAUCACUUUUUUUCCCACUGUUUGUUGUUUAUAUGGUUAAUAUUAAUGCAGCUAUCAGUGCACUAAGGUUAUAUAUUAGUGUAAACAUAUACUAGGGAUACUAGGGAUACCUUAUACUAGGGAUAGUUCACACAAAAUGAUCAUAUUUUUUCCAAACCUGUAAAAUGUGGUGGUGGAGAUGCAAAAAACUGUUGAGAAACCGUAGGUGAGUCAGCUUUGAAUAUACGCCUUCUCUCAAGAUUAUUGGGUAGAUCAUUUCAUUUCAUUUUCUUUAUAAACAUUCUAAAUGUUACAAAGAAACUUUUGUUAAUAAAACAAUUUAAACCACUGUGUCAAUUUGACUCGAUACACCUAUAAAACAACCUAUAUUAUUAACAAUAUUUUAUUGUUAUUUAAUAUUUUGUUAUCCCUCUGAUGCACAUCUUUACAAAUAAAAAAAAAAUAUAUAAUUUAGGAAAGAUAUAUCAAUAGUAAUUAUAUAUGGAUGUGAUGUUAAAAGAAAUAUUUUCUUAAUUUGUUUAUCAAGAUAUUGAAAUUCUUUACCAACACAUAGGUUAUGUCUAAUAAAUUGGAGAUAUAUAUUUUGUAACUGAUGUUAAAAAUACAAUUGAGUGGAAAACCAAAUCCUGGUGGGUAGAGGUCAUUUUUAUUUACAGGUUGUAAAGUAAAAACAGAACAUCAAGUUAAUAUGGUCCUUUGUGUUAAGUAUUUCAAAGUAUUCCAAAGAAUUUUGAUUAAGUUGCUAAACUUGAGUAAUGUAACGAAAUACGUUACUGAUUACUUUUUAAAGCAUGUAUUUUGUAAUCUGUAGUGAAAUACAUUCUAAAAGUAACCUUCCCAACCCUGUUUAUAAGUAAUGUAGCAAUUCAUUCUUUUAUAUCAUGUACUUUAAACGCGCUUCACUGCGCGCUCAGGUGAUUCAUUCAUCUUCACACGCGCGGCGGUGGGAGGGGUCUCGUACCUGUGGUAGUGGGUGAAUCCACCAUGUUUGUGCGGUUUGUAGCGGACGCGAGCAAAACAAUGGAUUAUUUACCAAGAGAUAUUAAUGUUGUUAAUGCACUAAACUUUGACGAGCAACACUCCGAUCUGCAAACAAAGAGCUGAGGAAGAGGAUGAUGACGGUUCUGCAUUCACAAGGAGAAAGAGCAGUAAAAUCAAGAAGUGUUAUCAUCGCUGAAGAAAAGGCAGAUUUUAAUCCCCAGACACCGAGCAGUGCAAGCCCUGAAGAAAUAACACCAUGAACAUCAUAUUAUACUUCUCUGACUGAACAUGGAGCUGUUGGAGCCAAUGAGAAAGCUGGUGGAAUGUACUUUAAUGAUAAUUUCUAAGUUUACUGAGCGAUGUAAACUGCUGUCAUCCACAUCACAUCAUUGCUCUAACCGACGUUACCAGAAGAAUCCUUUCAGUGUGGCAGAUAUUUACAAGCGUCUGGAGCGAACUUAUGCUGAACUGGAUGAUUGCUGAAGAGUGAGCUUCAACACUUAAGGGUGUGCAUGAUGUCACCAUUCAGUGCUCCUCAGUGUACCUGUGUGAGGAGGACCCACAAUUCUUUAAGACUUGAAAUGAGGCAUUGGGAGAGCCAGACAUCACUGAUUUUUGUCAUUGUGGUCAACGAAAGCACAAGUCCUUCAAGCACUGCAGUUGUGAUAGAAGAUGAUCUUCAGUUUUAGCAUGUUCAGAAGCACUUGUUUACAUAGUCACAGGACUAAUCCUCAAAAAAAUCUUCAAUUGUACAGCUGAAGGUUCUUAUUUUAUUUUUUAGGUUAUGUUGUUGUUGGUUGUUUUUGUCUUUUGUGUUAGUAUUUUUAUGUAAUGAAAUAGGCCUACUGCAGAGGUGACGUUUGUAUAGAUUUAAGUAAUGUUAUGUAUGUAUUAUAAUUUAUAUAAUUAAAAUGUAAGUAAACGUUUUGGCUGGGUAUCAAAUGUAAAUGAAAAUGUAUGAACAGUAUAGUAGAUAUAUAAACGGGGCUGGGCCGUUUUACAGUGCUUGAAUAUUGUUGUCUUUUACUGCAUAUGAU